This 468-nucleotide ribosomal RNA is filed under the name uncultured bacterium. RNAcentral's name for it is "partial 16S ribosomal RNA". It matches the Rfam family "Bacterial small subunit ribosomal RNA", at positions 28 to 507 of the family's 1533-position model. The record is from RNAcentral.
GACGAACGCUGGCGGCGUGCUUAACACAUGCAAGUCGAACGGAAAGGCCCUGCUUUUGUGGGGUGCUCGAGUGGCGAACGGGUGAGUAACACGUGAGUAACCUGCCCUUGACUUUGGGAUAACUUCAGGAAACUGGGGCUAAUACCGGAUAGGAGCUCCUGCUGCAUGGUGGGGGUUGGAAAGUUUCGGCGGUUGGGGAUGGACUCGCGGCUUAUCAGCUUGUUGGUGGGGUAGUGGCUUACCAAGGCUUUGACGGGUAGCCGGCCUGAGAGGGUGACCGGGCACAUUGGGCCUGAGAUACGGCCCAGACUCCUACGGGAGGCAGCAGUGGGGAAUAUUGCGCAAUGGGCGGAAGCCUGAUGCAGCAACGCCGCGUGCGGGAUGACGGCCUUCGGGUUGUAAACCGCUUUCGCCUGUGACGAAGCGUGAGUGACGGUAAUGGGUAAAGAAGCACCGGCUAACUACGUG